CAAAACCAAAAAAAAA
This 16-nucleotide small RNA is filed under the name Arabidopsis thaliana (thale cress). RNAcentral describes it as "ATSL138470". Lineage: Eukaryota; Viridiplantae; Streptophyta; Magnoliopsida; Brassicales; Brassicaceae. The record is from RNAcentral.